Molecule: long non-coding RNA, 1586 nt
Filed under: Heterocephalus glaber (naked mole-rat)
Lineage: Eukaryota; Metazoa; Chordata; Mammalia; Rodentia; Bathyergidae
Description: lncRNA (ENSHGLG00100028409.2)
Source: RNAcentral
UGAGAUCCCAGGUUAUGUAUUCUUUUGGAGGGGGGUGAAGAAGAUGAAUAAAAGUUCAUCAGACCUGAAGAGACAACCUAGACUAGCAGUGAGCCGUGGUGGAAAGACGCCAGAGGUCAGAUGUUGGGAAGGGCCUCAAAGUGCUCAGCAGAGUUUGGGAGAGAAGCUCAGACCUCCCCUUAUUGGACACCAAAUGUAAGGUCAGACCGAGGCACGAUUGAGACCACCGAGCAAGGUCCGUUAUGGUUUCUAUGUGAAGGGCCCCCCCGAACAUGCAGGCAUUGAGGGCUCGCUCCCCAGUGCAGCCAUCUUCAGCAGUGGGCCCCAGGGAGGUGACUGGAUCAUGAGGGGCUGACCUCGCCAGUGGACUGAUCCACAGAAGAGGUUGUUUUUUUUCAGAUAAGAGGAAGAAAUGAAAUAAGCAAGCCCAGUUGAUUCUUCCCAAAUUUACCCAUCUGAUAAGCAGCCCCAUCAAUAUGCCAGGGGUGAAGUAAAUAGAGAGAUCUGGGGGUGCUACCAGGGGAACCCCCAGCUCCCAGGAGUGAAGAUGCUGCUGCUUGCUUAAAGAGGAUUCACAUGACUCUGAUGAAGUGGGCAGCCCGCAGUGAAGACCAGCAGGCAGGAGGGACCCUGGGACUGGCUGCUUCUCCUGCCUCUUUGCUGUGAAAGGACACUUACUGGGAGGGAUGCAGGUGGCCAGCUAAGCACCUCUGCAGUGCUGAGGCUCCACAUGGGAGAUAGGAAUGCUAAGAAUAUUAGCCUGGGCUGUCGGCAAUUACUGGGCUGGGAACUAACUGCCACUGCAGCUUGGAUAUUAAAGAAAUAAUGUCUCCUUUUGUUCUUCAAGAUGGCAAAAUACGGUUUAGGUUUAUAGAUGUGUACCUUGGAAUCACUUUACUCACUCACUCUUUGGAUUACACACCUUUUUUGUGUUUUUGAUACAAGUGCUAAGUUGCAAAUUGUCCAGGUUGGCAUUGAACAUGGGAUAUUCCUGCCCCAGCCUCCUGAGUAUUCCUGGGAUUCCAGGUCUGCACCACCACAACAGGCUUAGCAUAUGAAGUGUUGUACUCUUUUUUUUAAAGGUUCUUGCCACUUUCUUUUUUUACAAUUAAAUUUAUUGGUACAUUUUAGGUAUAUAUAGUGAUCACAUCCAUCAUAGGGAAUUUGUGCCUGUACUAGUAUAUCUUGAUUCUUCAUUUUCUCCACUCCCUUCCCUGAAGCCACCUUCACUUCCUUAUUUACAAAAGCUUUGUUCCCAUUAUUUCCAUCUAUUUUCUUUUCCCUUCCUUCCUUUCCCCCUCACCCCUCCCUUUUUCCCCUUCCCAUUUGAACAUUUUCUUCCUAUUUCACAAUAUCUAUUUUAUAUUUUGGUCCUUAUUUACACUUUCAGUUUCUCACACCAGAGAAACAAUGUGAUAUUUAAACACAUGGGUCCGAUUUAUUUCACUUAAGAGUAUGGUCUCAAGGUGCAUCCAUUUAGGUAUAAAUGUCUAAAGUUUACCUUUCUUUAUGGCUGAAUAGUACUGCAUUGUAUAAUGGGGAAAAAAUAGGAAUCAAGAUACAUCAUGUACAGGUACAAACACCCA